GUUAAUGAUUUUAGGUGCUUGCACUUGAAAGAUUUAACAUUGAGACGAGUGGCGAACUGGUGAGUAACACGUGGGUAACCUGCCCUUGAAGUAGGGGAUAACACUUGGAAACAGGUGCUAAUACCGUAUAACAACCAAAACCACCUGGUUUUGGUUUAAAAGACGGCUUCGGCUGUCACUUUAGGAUGGACCCGCGGCGUAUUAGCUUGUUGGUAAGGUAACGGCUUACCAAGGCGAUGAUACGUAGCCGACCUGAGAGGGUAAUCGGCCACAUUGGGACUGAGACACGGCCCAAACUCCUACGGGAGGCAGCAGUAGGGAAUCUUCCACAAUGGACGAAAGUCUGAUGGAGCAACGCCGCGUGAGUGAUGAAGGGUUUCGGCUCGUAAAACUCUGUUGUUGGAGAAGAACAGGUGUCAGAGUAACUGUUGACAUCUUGACGGUAUCCAACCAGAAAGCCACGGCUAACUACGUGCCAGCAGCCGCGGUAAUACGUAGGUGGCAAGCGUUGUCCGGAUUUAUUGGGCGUAAAGCGAGCGCAGGCGGUUUUUUAGGUCUGAUGUGAAAGCCUUCGGCUUAACCGGAGAAGUGCAUCGGAAACCGGGAGACUUGAGUGCAGAAGAGGACAGUGGAACUCCAUGUGUAGCGGUGAAAUGCGUAGAU
This 663-nucleotide ribosomal RNA is filed under the name Lentilactobacillus buchneri. RNAcentral's name for it is "bacterial SSU rRNA". It matches the Rfam family "Bacterial small subunit ribosomal RNA", at positions 57 to 695 of the family's 1533-position model. The record is from RNAcentral. Lineage: Bacteria; Bacillati; Bacillota; Bacilli; Lactobacillales; Lactobacillaceae.